AUUGAACGCUGGCGGCAGGCCUAACACAUGCAAGUCGAGCGGAUGAAGGGAGCUUGCUCCUGGAUUCAGCGGCGGACGGGUGAGUAAUGCCUAGGAAUCUGCCUGGUAGUGGGGGAUAACGUCCGGAAACGGGCGCUAAUACCGCAUACGUCCUGAGGGAGAAAGUGGGGGAUCUUCGGACCUCACGCUAUCAGAUGAGCCUAGGUCGGAUUAGCUAGUUGGUGGGGUAAAGGUCUACCAAGGCGACGGUCCGUAACUGGUCUGAGAGGAUGAUCAGUCACACUGGAACUGAGACACGGUCCAGACUCCUACGGGAGGCAGCAGUGGGGAAUAUUGGACAAUGGGCGAAAGCCUGAUCCAGCCAUGCCGCGUGUGUGAAGAAGGUCUUCGGAUUGUAAAGCACUUUAAGUUGGGAGGAAGGGCAGUAAGUUAAUACCUUGCUGUUUUGACGUUACCAACAGAAUAAGCACCGGCUACCUUCGU
Molecule: ribosomal RNA, 483 nt
Filed under: uncultured bacterium
Lineage: Bacteria
Description: partial 16S ribosomal RNA
Rfam family: Bacterial small subunit ribosomal RNA
Source: RNAcentral